This 406-nucleotide ribosomal RNA is filed under the name uncultured bacterium. Its description in RNAcentral is "partial 16S ribosomal RNA". It matches the Rfam family "Bacterial small subunit ribosomal RNA", at positions 30 to 526 of the family's 1533-position model. The record is from RNAcentral.
AUUGAACGCUGGCGGCAGGCCUAACACAUGCAAGUCGAACGAGUGGCGGACGGGUGAGUAAUGUCUGGGAAACUGCCUGAUGGAGGGGGAUAACUACUGGAGACGGUAGCUAAUACCGCAUACCAUCAGAUGUGCCCACAUGGGAUUAGCUAUGUGGUGGGGUAACGGCUCACCUAGCCGACGAUCCCUAGCUGGUCUGAGAGGAUGACCAGCCACACUGGAACUGAUACACGGUCCAGACUCCUACGGGAGGCAGCAGUGGGGAAUAUUGCACAAUGGGCGCAAGCCUGAUACAGCCAUGCCGCGUGUAUGAAGAAGGCCUGCGGGUUGUAAAGUACUUUCAGCGGUGAGGCGUUACCCGCAGAAGAAGCACCGGCUAACUCCGUGCCAGCAGCCGCGGUAAUAC